GAAAUACUCCCUCCGUCCCAAAAUUCUUGUCUUAGAUUUUUCUAGAUAUGAAUGCAUCUAGAUAUUAAAACUUGACUAAAUACAUUCAUAUGUAGACAAAUCCAAGGCAAUAAUUUUGGGACGGGGGGAGUAUAAU
Non-coding RNA from Hordeum vulgare subsp. vulgare (domesticated barley), 136 nucleotides. The record is from Rfam. Lineage: Eukaryota; Viridiplantae; Streptophyta; Magnoliopsida; Poales; Poaceae.